UACGUAGGGUCCGAGCGUUGUCCGGAAUUACUGGGCGUAAAGAGCUCGUAGGUGGUUUGUCGCGUUGUCCGUGAAAUUCCCUGGCUUAACUGGGGGCGUGCGGGCGAUACGGGCAAACUGGAGUACUGCAGGGGAGACUGGAAUUCCUGGUGUAGCGGUGGAAUGCGCAGAUAGUCAGGAGGAACACCGGUGGCGAAGGC
Molecule: ribosomal RNA, 200 nt
Filed under: uncultured bacterium
Lineage: Bacteria
Description: partial 16S ribosomal RNA
Rfam family: Bacterial small subunit ribosomal RNA
Source: RNAcentral